GGUCCCGUAGCUCAGGUGGAUAGAGCCGCAGCCUCCUAAGCUGUGGGUCGGAGGUUCGAGUCCUCUCGGGACCG
Molecule: transfer RNA, 74 nt
Filed under: Hydrogenibacillus schlegelii
Lineage: Bacteria; Bacillati; Bacillota; Bacilli; Thermicanales; Thermicanaceae
Description: Bacillus schlegelii tRNA
Rfam family: tRNA
About the family: Transfer RNA (tRNA) molecules are approximately 80 nucleotides in length. Their secondary structure includes four short double-helical elements and three loops (D, anti-codon, and T loops).
Source: Rfam by way of RNAcentral